RNAcentral lists this ribosomal RNA (601 nucleotides) under Micrococcus sp. Its description in RNAcentral is "bacterial SSU rRNA". It matches the Rfam family "Bacterial small subunit ribosomal RNA", at positions 99 to 715 of the family's 1533-position model. The record is from RNAcentral. Lineage: Bacteria; Bacillati; Actinomycetota; Actinomycetes; Micrococcales; Micrococcaceae.
CGAACGGGUGAGUAACACGUGAGUAACCUGCCCUUAACUCUGGGAUAAGCCUGGGAAACUGGGUCUAAUACCGGAUAGGAGCGUCCACCGCAUGGUGGGUGUUGGAAAGAUUUAUCGGUUUUGGAUGGACUCGCGGCCUAUCAGCUUGUUGGUGAGGUAAUGGCUCACCAAGGCGACGACGGGUAGCCGGCCUGAGAGGGUGACCGGCCACACUGGGACUGAGACACGGCCCAGACUCCUACGGGAGGCAGCAGUGGGGAAUAUUGCACAAUGGGCGCAAGCCUGAUGCAGCGACGCCGCGUGAGGGAUGACGGCCUUCGGGUUGUAAACCUCUUUCAGUAGGGAAGAAGCGAAAGUGACGGUACCUGCAGAAGAAGCACCGGCUAACUACGUGCCAGCAGCCGCGGUAAUACGUAGGGUGCGAGCGUUAUCCGGAAUUAUUGGGCGUAAAGAGCUCGUAGGCGGUUUGUCGCGUCUGUCGUGAAAGUCCGGGGCUUAACCCCGGAUCUGCGGUGGGUACGGGCAGACUAGAGUGCAGUAGGGGAGACUGGAAUUCCUGGUGUAGCGGUGGAAUGCGCAGAUAUCAGAGGAACACCGAUGG